Molecule: long non-coding RNA, 1698 nt
Organism: Mya arenaria
Lineage: Eukaryota; Metazoa; Mollusca; Bivalvia; Myida; Myidae
Exons: 4
Source: RefSeq, a predicted model, not a curated record
UUUUCGCUUUUUUGGUAUAUUUUAAGGUCGACGUUAUAUUCUAUACACGCUCACAGUCUGACCAUUGGAAUCUAUACAGCCUUAAAUUUUUCCGUAAAGUAAACCAUGAAACUGUUGCCUGCGACCAUUUCAACUAGUUUUAUUUCCGGAUAGCACUUUAAGCUCCCGUUUUAGUAUAAUAACUCUUUUAAGGAUUAUAACUUGUACUUCCAAUAUGUCGACAUGGAUGAACAGCCUCAAGUCAACUUUGUAAGUGCUCCGUCACCAUGAUGUGUCGCUGUGGUACGAAAGGAUUGGGAUCAAAUACACAAAUAUUUUGGAAAUUCCUAGAGUGAAAACAACUAAAUUUGGUUAUGCAGAUUGUUGAGAGCAAAAUGAUGAGGGAAGGCAGGAAAGAGCACCUGAGUCUUAUAGUCUGGUCAUGUUAACAUGUUAAAUGUUUAAAACACCUUCUUUUUUAAUCAUGAUUUUCCAAUAUGAUAUCAUGUGUAUUGUGAUCCUAAAAUUGGCCUUUUUCUUUAUUGGAUUUUUAGGAAUAUUUAAUUGCUUCAGACUUUGAAAUGAUAUCAUGACCGUAUAGCAAACCACAAAGUAUGUUUUAAUAUAUAUUUUGCCUAAAACUAUCGUACAGGCCAUCUAUAUAGCUUUUGUUGUAAAAAAAACUUCUUAAUAUUUGCACAAUAGGUUUUAAGACUUUGAUUUUUGAAGGUGAUCAACAAAAGAAAGAUUUUUCAUAGAAUUUUCUUUUAUAUUAUGAUUUAAUUGCAGUAUGUACUCAUGGCAAAAUGGUGUUCGAGAGGUGGCGAAUAAGGAUUUGCUUGCAAAAUUGAAGAACGAUAAUAUGCAAAGAACAGAAAGAAAGGUUCUCUUAACAUAGAAAGUAAAGAAAUAAUGAAGUUCACACUACAGUUGACAAUCUGGAUGUGUUUCCUUUGUUAUUUGAACAUGAUUUAUUUUAACUUAGGUAACAAGUAUGCACUACAAUAAUGAAUAUCUAUAUUAAUAGUAAUGAUAUGCCAUUAAACAUGGAUAUGGAAAAAAUAUUCUUUGACAGUGCAAGAUAAGAUAAAUCCAGACAUAGUCAGAGUCUUCAGUUAACUUGGAUGUGUUCCAUUUGUUUCAUCCACAUACUUGAAUUUUGUCUUGUAACUACAUGUAUUUUUAUGAGGUUAAGUGGUGAGUAAUCAACCAUUUUCUUAUUUGGGGAUAGUAUGUAUUUAUGUUGACACUAUGUGUACCUUCAUUUUUCUGUACGAAACAAGACCAAAUGUGUCAUUUUAGUUAAACCAUUUUAAACUGUAUUUAUUAUACUCUUUGAAUACCCAUUCAUAUAUUAUCUAACAUUUUAACAAAUUUAACUGUGUUGUUAUAUUGAUUAUAUUGUAUUGGUGUCAUAGGGUACAUGUACAUGUCCAUUCCUAGCCUUCAAGAUAAAACAGAUAUAUUUUUUGUUGUAAAAUGUGUUCUUUAUGCAUUUACAUAUAGAGUGGCUACAGAGAAUUCAACAUUUUUUCUUACAAAAUAUCUAAGGGUUUCCCUGCAUGUGAUUGCUACAUUCAGUGUACCUCAUGUUAUAUAAUACAUUAUAUAUGAUCAAUAAAACAGAUUAAGAACCAAAGCUGUUGCUAAAUACUUUUUAAAAGCUGUAUAUGUACAAGACAAUACUGAGACUGUAUAGACACCAAUGUUUGUCCUACC